CCGAGUUAUACAACUCAUCAACCCUGUGAACAUACCUAAAACGUUGCUUCGGCGGGAACAGACGGCCCUGUAACAACGGGCCCGCCCCCGCCAGAGGACCCCCUAACUCUGUUUUUAUAAUGUUUUUCUGAGGUAAACAAGCAAAAUAAAAUUA
This 154-nucleotide unclassified non-coding RNA is filed under the name soil metagenome. RNAcentral's name for it is "partial internal transcribed spacer 1". The record is from RNAcentral.